GCGGCUGUAGCUCAGUGGAUAGAGCACUUGCCUCCGGAGCAAGGGGUCGGGAGUUCGAGUCUCCCCAGCCGCG
Molecule: transfer RNA, 73 nt
Filed under: Pseudomonadota bacterium
Lineage: Bacteria; Pseudomonadati; Pseudomonadota
Also listed under: 2 other names
Description: tRNA-Arg
Rfam family: tRNA
About the family: Transfer RNA (tRNA) molecules are approximately 80 nucleotides in length.
Source: RNAcentral